AUAAUAAUUAGUCUUUUAAUUAGAGGCUGGUAUGAAGGAUUGAACGAGAUAAAUUCUGUCUCAUUAAAAUUUUUAUUUGAAUUUAAUUUUUAAGUUAAAAAGCUUAAAUUUUAUUAGAGGACGAGAAGACCCUAUAGAACUUUAUAAUCGUUUGUUUCGAUUUUUUAAAAUUUUAUUAGUGUCGAUAUAAUUGAUUAUUUUAUUGGGGCGAUAAGAAAAUUUAUUAAACUUUUAUAAAUUAAAUACAUUAAUAAAUGAAUUUUUGAUCCUAUAUUAUAGAUUAUUAGAUUAAGUUACCUUAGGGAUAACAGCGUUAUUUUUUUUAAAAGUUCAUAUUUAAAAAAAAGAUUGC
RNAcentral lists this ribosomal RNA (352 nucleotides) under Busalus sp. SS1. Its description in RNAcentral is "partial 16S ribosomal RNA". Lineage: Eukaryota; Metazoa; Arthropoda; Insecta; Hymenoptera; Pergidae. The record is from RNAcentral.